This 1158-nucleotide long non-coding RNA is filed under the name Scophthalmus maximus (turbot). RNAcentral's name for it is "lncRNA (ENSSMAG00000031251.1)". The record is from RNAcentral. Lineage: Eukaryota; Metazoa; Chordata; Actinopteri; Pleuronectiformes; Scophthalmidae.
AGUUUGAGUUUAAUAAAAGCUUGAGUUGUGUAACUGUGUGACUCUCAUACUCUGCAACUAUACUUCACCAUCAUAACUAUACAAUGUUCUUCAGGGUCACCCAGGGGCAGGCGGUGAGCCUGGUUUGCCAGGAGUAGAUGGCUGUAAUGGGACAAGGGGUCGACCAGGUGUCCCUGGUGUUCCUGGUUUGGAUGGUUUCCAUGGGCCUACAGUGAGAUGUUUACAAAAAUUCACAUUCACCCAAAUUCAAGUUUUUGCCUUGACUUUACUUAGACUGUGAUUGUUUUCAUAGUAACAGUCUAAGUAAAGCCACAAAUUCCACAAAAAAAAGUUUUUGAAAAUAUUAGAUCUAUUUAUAAUUUGUCAAAUGACAGAAUUGACUCUUUUGUUGUCAGGGAUUAACUGGACCUAAAGGAAGUAAAGGAGAACCUUUAUAUGGCACUACCCUCCCUGGACUUCCUGGGGAGCAUGGGAGAACUGGAGAUCUUGGUUUACCUGGAAGACAAGGAGUCCCUGGGCUUAAAGGCCACAUUGGCCCAUCUGGUCAUCCUGGACCUGGGGUAGAACAAAAGUAUUUUAUUUGUAUUUUUAAUAUGUAUGUUAUGACUUAACUAGACAAUUUGAUGUGCGUGUGCGUGUGUGUGUGUGUGUGUGUGUGUGUGUGUGUGUGUGUCUGUGUGUGUUUGAUUCCAUUUAGGGUUUGGAGGGAUCUAAAGGUGUUAGAGGACUACCAGUGAGUUACCUGCCUUACAAUAUUAGGCAGCACAUACUGUAAUAAAAAAAACUGACCUGCACAUGACGCAUGUUUGUCUACACAAACACAAAACCUUACUAAGCUUUUGGUUGUUGUGUAGGGAAACCCUGGAGGAUCGCUGGCAGGUGAUGAAGGUGACGAUGUAAGAAACCAUUUUGGCCUUUCAAAACUACGGACUGAGGUUUUGUUUAGCGCCCCCCCCCUUUUCUCUCUCCCUCUUUAUAUGUUGAAUUAAACUUACAACUCCAGUCGACAUUUUAUUUCUAUAUUUCAGGGUGAACAAGGUCCACCUGGCCCCCCUGGACCAGAAGAAAUUAUAGAAUUUCCUCCAGACUUUCUUCCACUCAAAGGCUACAAGGUGAAGGAAAAAAUCCUCUGUUUUAGAACAAUGCUCAAUUUUUGCU